This is a long non-coding RNA of Triticum dicoccoides, 698 nucleotides long. RefSeq lists it as uncharacterized. The transcript is spliced from 2 exons. NCBI's taxonomy places the organism in Eukaryota, Viridiplantae, Streptophyta, Magnoliopsida, Poales, Poaceae. The record is from RefSeq and is a predicted model, not a curated record.
UCGACAUUUGCAGUCACUGAGCGCAUGGAGUGGAGCGAUCCCAACAAAUGUCAUAUCUGUGGGGAGGUAGGUCACUGGAAGUGGGCGUGUCCAACUCGUGGCAGAGGCAUGGGCUACGACAGAGGGGGAACUGGCAGAGGCAGGCGUGGUAGAGGCAGAGGUGGAUACUCAGGGACCUCAAGGGGUCAGGCUUCUAUGGGUAGAGGUGGCUACUCAGGACACUUAGGGGAUCAGAGGGCUCACAUGACAGUGGCAGGAGACACUGGGACGUCACAAGGCAAAGAUGCAGCUAAUGCUGACUAUGGAGACUUUGCUCUCUGGGCCUCCACUGAUGAAGGAGCGCCAGACGAGCCAGACGAUUGGGACUGGCACCAGGCGUAGGGGGCUCUGGUACAUGGACCAGGAGGUGCAGCCGGACUUGGUGUGUGCUGCGACCAUGGAGGACAAGGAGAAGGAGGCGAUGAUCCAUCACUGUAGGAUGGGACAUGUAUCUUUUGAUAAGAUGAGUAGAAUCUUUCCGGAUGUUAUGUGUGGGAUAGGCAAGGGCAAGUUGACAUGUGAUGCUUGCGAAUAUGCCAAACACACACGAGCCUCAUAUGUGAGCAAGGGGCUUAGGAGCAUCUCUCCUUUUAUGCUUAUUCAUUCGGAUGUAUGGAAGAGCCCAGUUGUAUCAAUGAAUGGAAUGAAAUACUUUGUUA